This 239-nucleotide ribosomal RNA is filed under the name Staphylococcus aureus. RNAcentral's name for it is "partial 23S ribosomal RNA". It matches the Rfam family "Bacterial large subunit ribosomal RNA", at positions 207 to 441 of the family's 2925-position model. The record is from RNAcentral. Lineage: Bacteria; Bacillati; Bacillota; Bacilli; Caryophanales; Staphylococcaceae.
UACCCGGAGGAAGAGAAAGAAAAUUCGAUUCCCUUAGUAGCGGCGAGCGAAACGGGAAGAGCCCAAACCAACAAGCUUGCUUGUUGGGGUUGUAGGACACUCUAUACGGAGUUACAAAGGAUGACAUUAGACGAAUCAUCUGGAAAGAUGAAUCAAAGAAGGUAAUAAUCCUGUAGUCGAAAAUGUUGUCUCUCUUGAGUGGAUCCUGAGUACGACGGAGCACGUGAAAUUCCGUCGGA